GAAAGAAAUUAGAUUCUUUGCGAACUGCUCAGUAACACGUGGAUAACCUGCCCUAUGCUCUGGAAUAACCUCGGGAAACUGAGAAUAAUACCGGAUAGAUCACAACGCCUGGAACGGUGUGUGGUUGAAAGAUUACGGCAUAGGAUGGGUCUGCGGCGUAUCAGGUUGUAGGGGGUGUAACGGACCUCCUAGCCAUCGACGCGUACGGGUGUUGGGAGACAUAGCCCGGAGAUGGAUUCUGAGACACGAAUCCAGACCCUACGGGGUGCAGCAGGCGCGAAAACUUCACACUGCAGGAAACUGUGAUGAGGGAACUCCAAGUGCGCGCACUUAGUGUGCGCUUUUGUUGACUAUUAAUCGGUCAAUGAAUAAGGGCUGGGAAAGACCGGUGCCAGCCGCCGCGGUAAUACCGGCAGCUCAAGUGGUCGUCGCUUUUAUUGGGCCUAAAACGUCCGUAGCCUGUUUGGUAAAUCUGUGGGUAAAUCAACCAGCUUAACUGGUUGAAUUCUGCAGAGACUGCCAGACUAGGGACCGGGAGAGGUGUGGGGUACUCUAGGGGUAGGGGUAAAAUCCUGUCAUCCUUAGAGGACCACCAGUUGCGAAGGCGCCACACUGGAACGGAUUCGACGGUCAGGGACGAAGCCUAGGGGCACGAACCGGAUUAGAUACCCGGGUAGUCCUAGGUG
This 686-nucleotide ribosomal RNA is filed under the name uncultured marine archaeon. Its description in RNAcentral is "bacterial SSU rRNA". It matches the Rfam family "Archaeal small subunit ribosomal RNA", at positions 60 to 753 of the family's 1478-position model. The record is from RNAcentral.